Molecule: ribosomal RNA, 261 nt
Filed under: uncultured Glomus
Lineage: Eukaryota; Fungi; Glomeromycota; Glomeromycetes; Glomerales; Glomeraceae
Description: partial 18S ribosomal RNA
Rfam family: Eukaryotic small subunit ribosomal RNA
Source: RNAcentral
AAGCUCGUAGUUGAAUUUCGGGGUUAGUAGGUUGGUCAUGCCUCUGGUAUGUACUGGUCUCACUGAUUCCUCCUUCCUUAUGAACCGUAAUGCCAUUAAUUUGGUGUUGCGGGGAAUUUGGACUGUUACUUCGAAAAAAUUAGAGUGUUUAAAGCAAGCUAACGCUUGAAUACAUUAGCAUGGAAUAAUGAAAUAGGACGUUCGAUCUUAUUUUGUUUGGUUUUCUUAGGAUUGACGUAAUGAUUAAUAGGGAUAGUUGGG